GACGAACGCUGGCGGCGUGCUUAACACAUGCAAGUCGAACGGAAAGGCCCUGCUUUUGUGGGGUGCUCGAGUGGCGAACGGGUGAGUAACACGUGAGUAACCUGCCCUUGACUUUGGGAUAACUUCAGGAAACUGGGGCUAAUACCGGAUAGGAGCUCCUGCUGCAUGGUGGGGGUUGGAAAGUUUCGGCGGUUGGGGAUGGACUCGCGGCUUAUCAGCUUGUUGGUGGGGUAGUGGCUUACCAAGGCUUUGACGGGUAGCCGGCCUGAGAGGGUGACCGGCCACAAUGGGACUGAGAUACGGCCCAGACUCCUACGGGAGGCAGCAGUGGGGAAUAUUGCACAAUGGGCGGAAGCCUGAUGCAGCAACGCCGCGUGCGGGAUGACGGCCUGCGGGUUGUAAACCGCUUUCGCCUGUGACGAAGCGUGAGUGACGGUAAUGGGUAAAGAAGCACCGGCUAACUACGUG
This 468-nucleotide ribosomal RNA is filed under the name uncultured bacterium. RNAcentral's name for it is "partial 16S ribosomal RNA". It matches the Rfam family "Bacterial small subunit ribosomal RNA", at positions 28 to 507 of the family's 1533-position model. The record is from RNAcentral.